Molecule: ribosomal RNA, 466 nt
Filed under: uncultured bacterium
Lineage: Bacteria
Description: partial 16S ribosomal RNA
Rfam family: Bacterial small subunit ribosomal RNA
Source: RNAcentral
GAUGAACGCUGGCGGCGUGCUUAACACAUGCAAGUCGAACGAUGAAGCCCAGCUUGCUGGGUGGAUUAGUGGCGAACGGGUGAGUAACACGUGAGUAACCUGCCCUUGACUCUGGGAUAAGCCUGGGAAACUGGGUCUAAUACUGGAUAUGACUUCUCAUCGCAUGGUGGGGGGUGGAAAGAUUUAUUGGUCUUGGAUGGACUCGCGGCCUAUCAGCUUGUUGGUGAGGUAAUGGCCCACCAAGGCGACGACGGGUAGCCGGCCUGAGAGGGUGACCGGCCACACUGGGACUGAGACACGGCCCAGACUCCUACGGGAGGCAGCAGUGGGGAAUAUUGCACAAUGGGCGCAAGCCUGAUGCAGCGACGCCGCGUGAGGGAUGACGGCCUUCGGGUUGUAAACCUCUUUCAGUAGGGAAGAAGCGAGAGUGACGGUACCUGCAGAAGAAGCGCCGGCUAACUACGUG